This 417-nucleotide ribosomal RNA is filed under the name uncultured prokaryote. RNAcentral describes it as "bacterial SSU rRNA". It matches the Rfam family "Bacterial small subunit ribosomal RNA", at positions 338 to 774 of the family's 1533-position model. The record is from RNAcentral.
CCUACGGGCGUCAGCAGUUAGGAAUCUUCCGCAAUGGGCGCAAGCCUGACGGAGCGACACUGCUUGAAGGAUGAAGGUCUUCGGAUCGUAAACUUCUGAACCUGCGACGAUUGUGACGGUAGCAGGCUAAUAGCACCGGCUAACUCCGUGCCAGCAGCCGCGGUAAUACGGAGGGUGCGAGCGUUAUCCGGAAUCACUGGGCGUAAAGGGCGCGUAGGCGGUUUGUUAAGUCCGAUGUUAAAGCGUGGGGCUCAACCCCAUCACGGCGUUGGAUACUGGCGAGCUAGACGGUUGGAGAGGAAGGUAGAAUUACCAGUGUAGCGGUGGAAUGCGUAGAUACUGGUAGGAAUACCCAUAGCGAAGGCAGCCUUCUGGACAACACGUGACGCUGAGGCGCGAAAGCGUGGGGAGCAAACC